Molecule: non-coding RNA, 103 nt
Organism: Triticum aestivum (bread wheat)
Lineage: Eukaryota; Viridiplantae; Streptophyta; Magnoliopsida; Poales; Poaceae
Source: Rfam
GUCCCUUCGGGUACAUGCGAUAAAACUGGAAUGAUACAGGGAAGAUUAGCAUUGCCCCUUCUCAAGGAUGACACGCACAAAUUAAGUAAUGGUCCAUUAAAAA